AACGCGAAGAACCUUACCAGGUCUUGACAUCCUCUGACAAUCCUAGAGAUAGGACGUUCCCCUUCGGGGGACAGAGUGACAGGUGGUGCAUGGUUGUCGUCAGCUCGUGUCGUGAGAUGUUGGGUUAAGUCCCGCAACGAGCGCAACCCUUGAUCUUAGUUGCCAGCAUUUAGUUGGGCACUCUAAGGUGACUGCCGGUGACAAACCGGAGGAAGGUGGGGAUGACGUCAAAUCAUCAUGCCCCUUAUGACCUGGGCUACACACGUGCUACAAUGGAUGGUACAAAGGGCUGCAAAACCGCGAGGUCGAGCCAAUCCCAUAAAACCAUUCUCAGUUCGGAUUGUAGGCUGCAACUCGCCUACAUGAAGCUGGAAUCGCUAGUAAUCGUGGAUCAGCAUGCCACGGUGAAUACGUUCCCGGGCCUUGUA
RNAcentral lists this ribosomal RNA (428 nucleotides) under uncultured Bacillota bacterium. RNAcentral describes it as "bacterial SSU rRNA". It matches the Rfam family "Bacterial small subunit ribosomal RNA", at positions 958 to 1385 of the family's 1533-position model. The record is from RNAcentral. Lineage: Bacteria; Bacillati; Bacillota.